GACAUGAAUAGCACACAGAAGUGAACUUCUACUCAAUGGCUUCUUAUAUAAAUCAAUCUAAAUUAUGGGGGAUUUUGUGCGUUGCUUUUAUUUUGGUCUCGGGAUUCAUAACUUUAGAAGCCGUUCCUCCCGGGCCGACAUAUAGGUGCGCUGGCCGCAAGGAUUGCCUAGAUGAUCAAAAGUGCACUAACUAUUGCACUUUUUUCGGAUAUGAUAAAGGUGGUAGAUGUGUUGGAUACGAUCCACAAUCUAAGAUGUGUUGUUGUAUUAUGUAAUGUUACUGUACUUUUUAAUACACCUCUGAAUGAAUAAAACACAUACAUGAGAUACUUUUGAAACUUUGGAAAACUUUAUGUACUGCGUGGUGAAAGUUAAUGAAAUAGUUAUUCAUCUCUUGUUUA
Lathyrus oleraceus (garden pea) is the source of this 401-nucleotide long non-coding RNA. RefSeq lists it as uncharacterized. NCBI's taxonomy places the organism in Eukaryota, Viridiplantae, Streptophyta, Magnoliopsida, Fabales, Fabaceae. The transcript is spliced from 2 exons. The record is from RefSeq and is a predicted model, not a curated record.